Molecule: RNA transcript, 2377 nt
Organism: Chlorocebus sabaeus (green monkey)
Lineage: Eukaryota; Metazoa; Chordata; Mammalia; Primates; Cercopithecidae
Gene name: arginine/serine-rich protein 1
Source: RefSeq, a predicted model, not a curated record
GCGCAUGCGCCGGGGGCCAGCUUCUGGUACUUUCGACGCGUCUGCUGACGCAGGUUCUCAGUGCGCGUCCGGACGUCGGAGGUGGAAGUGUUGGAGUUCGCUGUUCGAGAGUGGGUACUAAAAGCUCCUUUUAGUCCUACGUUCCGAAAGGAGGGCGUCUGUUGGGCCUUUCUCUCAGUCGUGAGGGAGGCGUCGACGGCCUGCGGAAGUCGUGAGUUGAGGCUUGCGGGAUCCUUUCCGGAGAAAGCGCAGGCUAAGGCCGCAGCGGAAGAUGUCCAACUACGUGAACGACAUGUGGCCCGGCUCGCCGCAGGAGAAGGAUUCGCCCUCCGCCUCGCGGUCGGGCGGGUCCAGCCGGCUCUCGUCGCGGUCUAGGAGCCGUUCUUUUUCCAGAAGCUCUCGGUCCCGUUCCCGCGUCUCGAGUCAGUUUUCGUCCAGGAGUCGGAGUCGGAGCCGGAGCAGGAGGUCAAGGUCCCGUUCCCGAAGGCGCCAUCAGCGGAAGUACAGGCGCUACUCGCGGUCAUACUCGCGGAGCCGGUCGCGAUCUCGCAGCCGCCGUUACCGAGAGAGGCGCUACGGCUUCUCCAGGAGAUACUACCGGUCUCCUUCGCGGUCCCGGUCCCGUAGCAGGUCGCGCUCUCGGGAAAGGUCGUACUACGGAAGGGCGUACGCGAUGGCGCGGGGGCGGCGCUACUACGGCUUUGGUCGCACAGUGUAUCCGGAGGAGCGCAGCAGAUGGAGGGACAGAUCCAGGACGAGGUCGCGGAGCAGAACCCCCUUUCGCUUAAGUGAGAAAGAUCGAAUGGAGCUGUUAGAAAUAGCAAAAGCCAAUGCAGCGAAAGCUUUAGGAACAACCAACAUUGACUUGCCAGCUAGUCUCAGAACUGUACAUGUAACCAAAGAAACAAGCCAUGGAAUAGGUGUAUCAAAUGGUGCAAAGCCUGAAAAAUCAUGAAUGUGGUCUGCAGACAUUGAUGAAGAAAAUCUGUUGGUAAUUGAUACAUGGUCUAAAGCAUCAGAGGUUUAAUUUGAAGUUUUGUUCACACUGAAAACUUAGUUUUCUUUGUUGGUUAGAUACAUGUGCAUGCUAGAAUUUGGGACAGGUACUAUUUGCAUACAGUAUUAAAGUCAAUUUUUAAAGUAAGCAAAGGUACACGUUGUAAUGGUGGGGCAUCUGUGAAAAAGAUGUCCCUUUCAUAAUAUAUGCAAUAUAUUCCAGAUGUUUUGAGAGAUUACAGAAGAGGAGGCCUGCUUCACUUGCAGAUAAGUUUAUUAUAAUUCUCCACAAAUGUGCAGGAUGUGCAUUAGCAAAUUGCACUGUACUUUUCACUCCAGCCUGGGUGACAAAGCGAGACUCCGUCUCGAGGAAAAAAAAAAAAAAGAUGCUGUAUCUAAAUGAAUCUGUGUAAUUGGGCCCAGAUGUGGGUUUGCUUAGUAUUAGUAGACAAGGUCUUUGUUCAGACGAUUAGGUGCCUAACUGGCAAAUGUCUUAGCUUCUUAAAGCUAGGUAUUUCUGAUGUGGCUUUACUUUUCAAAAGUUAACUUGAUUCAACCUGAGAAAACUGAUUAAAAAACUAGUUUAAAAAUUACUUAAAUUUGUCAGCAGGGAAGUCAAAUAAUUAUGAGAAGAACGUCUUAAGCCUAAUAUUAAAUCAGUUUUGUUAAGGGGAAAACUUAAUAAUUCUGUUACUUCAGCUGUUGAAUAUAUGGUUAGAUCCAAGUUGAUUUUUGUGUCUACAACUAAAUUUUGUAUACAAUUAGAUUAUUUUUUAAUAUAGGAUUUAGAAACCAAGGGUAUGUGUUUUAAAAUUACACUUUUUCUUGACCUGUCUAGCUGUCAGAAAAGGUAACAGAAGAUGGAACUAGAAAUCCUAGUGAAAAACCUUCCCAGCAAAGAAGCAUAGCUUUUAGCUCUAAUAAUUCUGUAGCAAAACCAAUACAAAAAUCAGCUAAAGCUGCCACAGAAGAGACAUCUUCAAGAUCACCAAAAAUAGAUAAGAAAAAAAGUCCAUAUGGACUGUGGAUACCUGUCUGAAAGGAGAAAACUAAUGGCUAAGUUUGCAUGAAAACUGCACUUUAUUACAAGUUAGUGUUUCUAGCUAGCAUUAUCCUAUCCCUUUGAGCCAUUCAGGGGUACUUGUACAUUUAAAAACCAACACAAAAAGAUGUAAAUACUUAAUACUCAAAUAUUAACAUUUUAGGUUUCUCUUGCAGAUAUGAGAAAUAGCACAGAUGGACCAAAGGUUAUACACAGGUGGGAGUCUUUUGUAUAUAGUUGUAAAUAUUUCCUUGGUUAUGUAAAAAUGAAAUUUUUUAGACACAGUAAUUGAACUGUAUUCCUGUUUUGUAUAUUUAAUAAAGUUCUUGUUUUAAUUCU